UAACGCUGUCGUUAAUGAUCUCUCUCGUGUUUUUAGGAUUCCUGGAUCAGAGUUUGUUCUCUGAGAGGAGUUCAGUCCGGAUGACAUUUAUCUGGAGGGAAGGAGAAUGAGACAAUCACAGCGUCGAACCCUUUUAUUGUGACGGCUAAAUCUGAACCGCUGCGGUCGAUGGAGCUCCUAACAGCUGGAGUCGAAGGGCCAGAUGUGCAGAAACAACUCUGAGUCGAAGAGUCAUCAGCAGUCCCUCUGGGUCUCUGAGCGGCCGAGCAGCGGGGAUAUCAAUCGUGGGAAGCGUCUGCAGCUGAUCCUGAUUCAGUGAAAUGACCUCAGAGUUUAAACACUCGAAGCCCUAACCUUCAGAGAGGAGCGGAAACAUGCUGAAAUUCAGAUAAUGAAUGUAGCUGAAGUGAGAUGCAUCGUGACAUGACCGGUGGGGUUUUGGGCGUUUUGGAGCUAAACCUUUUAAGAUGCUCAAUGUGACGACGCCCAACAUCACGAGGGGGCUCGCAGUGGGAGGGGCCUCCUGCCACGCCUGCUGGGAACUGAGGCCAACAAAGAUGGCGUGUUACACGUUCACACGUGCACUCUCACACACACACACACACACAGCUGUAUUCAUAAAACUACAUGGUUUUACGCAGAGAUCUUUUAUUUGUUGUGAAAUUUCAGACCUGCAGAGGAGCUCAGCAGUGCUGAUUCUGCCUGCCUGCCGUUUAGACGAGGAAGCAACAAGCUCAUUCCCAGCCAACGCCUUCCGCGACGCAGGGAAUCCGCUCGCUGCUGUGAAGGCAAACGUAAAGAUGGAUUCUGUAGAGCGGCACAAACAGAUGAAACACACACUCUCAUUUAUGGAACAUUAUUUAUUGGUAAGAAAGAGCGUCUAUUCCUCAAAAUGUACGAUCAGCUUUCACAGUGAACCAUGGAGUUGAUGUUAUCAGUAAUUUUCAAGAAAGUGUUAGCCAAGAUUAAAAAUCUUAAGCCUCUUUAGCUGGUUGAAUUUAAUCCAUCUGUCACUGCUAUUCACUAACAUUUAUUUGUAUUCCCAAUGUUGAUGAUGACCCAGCGACAUUCAUAGAUGUAUUUCAUGCGCGGUGCUAAUAUAUUUUAAUUACUGUGUGCAUGGAAAGUUUUGAUCACUGUAAUAUUUUAUAUUUUGUAAUGUAGCCUACGAUUUAUGUUGUGUAUAGUUUUUAUAUGGUGCAACUACUUUUGAUGAUCAAUACAGUCUUUUUCUUCAAUUCACAAUAAGCUGCUAGUGGCAAAGGGCUUACUGUAUUCAAUUCAAUUCAAUUUUAUUUAUACAGCGCCAAUUCAUAACAGGAGUUAUCUCAUUGCACUUUUC
Long non-coding RNA from Siniperca chuatsi (mandarin fish), 1342 nucleotides. RefSeq lists it as uncharacterized. NCBI's taxonomy places the organism in Eukaryota, Metazoa, Chordata, Actinopteri, Centrarchiformes, Sinipercidae. The transcript has 3 exons. The record is from RefSeq and is a predicted model, not a curated record.